RNAcentral lists this ribosomal RNA (470 nucleotides) under Providencia rettgeri. Its description in RNAcentral is "partial 23S ribosomal RNA". It matches the Rfam family "Bacterial large subunit ribosomal RNA", at positions 1 to 510 of the family's 2925-position model. The record is from RNAcentral. Lineage: Bacteria; Pseudomonadati; Pseudomonadota; Gammaproteobacteria; Enterobacterales; Morganellaceae.
GGUUAAGCGACUAAGCGUACACGGUGGAUGCCUAGGCAAUCAGAGGCGAUGAAGGACGUGCUAAUCUGCGAUAAGCGUCGGUAAGGUGAUAUGAACCGUUACAACCGACGAUUUCCGAAUGGGGAAACCCAGUGCAAUUCGUUGCACUAUCGUUUGAUGAAUACAUAGUCAAACGAAGCGAACCGGGGGAACUGAAACAUCUCAGUACCCCGAGGAAAAGAAAUCAACCGAGAUUCCCCUAGUAGCGGCGAGCGAACGGGGAGCAGCCCAGAGUCUUAAUCAGCAUUAGCAUCAGGAGAACGGUCUGGAAAGUCCGGCAGUAAAGGGUGAUAGCCCCGUAUCCGAAGGUGUUAGUGUUGUGAACUCGACGAGUAGGGCGGGACACGUGUUAUCCUGUCUGAAUAUGGGGGGACCAUCCUCCAAGGCUAAAUACUCCUGAUUGACCGAUAGUGAACCAGUACCGUGAGGGA